UGACCACUGAUUACAUAUUACUUCUCAAGUUUAGGAUGAUCUGUUAUUUUUUUUUUACUUUUUACCUUCUAAAUAUUCGUUUUUCACUGAAGUAAAGGAGACCAACUUUGUGCCGAAAUCUUUAAUGUUAAAGAGGAUCUUAAGUUCCAAUCAUCACGCGAAGACACAAAUAUUGAGUAUUUUUUUAGUAGCAGCCAGCCUAAGCCAUAUCUACCUGAUUAAUGAGGAGAUUUGGGGGCUGGUGACCGAUGCAGGAAGACUAUGCUGAAGUGCCACUUGUUGGAUUCCCUGCUAGCUUGCUUAGAAAAUAGAAGAUUGAUUAGAUUGUCGUAUUACCAAAUAGUCUUGAUGCAAGCUUCCUUUUGUGUUUAGUGUUAACAUGACUGUGAAUAGUGGGCAUAAAGUAAUUCGACAUUGUUAAA
Aegilops tauschii subsp. strangulata is the source of this 422-nucleotide non-coding RNA. Lineage: Eukaryota; Viridiplantae; Streptophyta; Magnoliopsida; Poales; Poaceae. The record is from RefSeq and is a predicted model, not a curated record.